Molecule: ribosomal RNA, 253 nt
Filed under: uncultured bacterium
Lineage: Bacteria
Description: partial 16S ribosomal RNA
Rfam family: Bacterial small subunit ribosomal RNA
Source: RNAcentral
UACGAAGGGUGCAAGCGUUAAUCGGAAUUACUGAGCGUAAAGCGCUCUUAGGUGGUUCAGUAAGUUGGAAGUGAAAUCCCCGGGCUCAACCUGGGAACUGCUUUCAAAACUGCUGAGCUAGAGUACGGUAGAGGGUGGUGGAAUUUCCUGUGUAGCGGUGAAAUGCGUAGAUAUAGGAAGGAACACCAGUGGCGAAGGCGACCACCUGGACUGAUACUGACACUGAGGUGCGAAAGCGUGGGGAGCAAACAGG